CCUUGACCGGAAGGUCUGGGCAAUCUUAUGAAACUCUGUCGUGCUGGGGAUAGAGCAUUGCAAUUAUUGCUCUUCAACGAGGAAUUCCUAGUAAGCGCAUGUCAUCAGCAUGCGUUGAUUACGUCCCUGCCCUUUGUACACA
Molecule: ribosomal RNA, 142 nt
Filed under: uncultured eukaryote
Lineage: Eukaryota
Description: partial 18S ribosomal RNA
Rfam family: Eukaryotic small subunit ribosomal RNA
Source: RNAcentral